UUGGUAGCUCAGCUGGUAGAGCAGAGGACUGAAAAUCCUUGUGUCGCUGGUUCGAUUCCUGUCUGAA
RNAcentral lists this transfer RNA (67 nucleotides) under Fidelibacterota bacterium. Its description in RNAcentral is "tRNA-Phe". The stretch from base 4 to 63 matches the Rfam family "tRNA", at positions 7 to 64 of the family's 71-position model. Rfam says of the family: Transfer RNA (tRNA) molecules are approximately 80 nucleotides in length. The record is from RNAcentral. Lineage: Bacteria; Pseudomonadati; Fidelibacterota.